GGAACAGUUGUCAAAAUUUAUCCGAAAAUACAAGCAUCACAGAUAAUCAUGGAAAGAAACAAAGAAAUUCACAAACAUAUAAAUAUAUGUAUACUCAUACAAAUUUAUCAUGUUGGAAGACUGUGUUUUAAGGUUCUUGUUUGUUCCAUAUAUUUUUUUAAUGAUUAAUUUAACGGAUAUUCAAAGUAGUAUCUUUAAGUACUAUUAAGCUUGAAUAUAGGGGGAUACUUAUUGUUGGGUUAAAUUAUGUUACUUUUCUAAUUG
This 264-nucleotide unclassified non-coding RNA is filed under the name Hevea brasiliensis (rubber tree). The record is from RNAcentral. Lineage: Eukaryota; Viridiplantae; Streptophyta; Magnoliopsida; Malpighiales; Euphorbiaceae.